This 464-nucleotide ribosomal RNA is filed under the name Vreelandella stevensii. RNAcentral's name for it is "partial 16S ribosomal RNA". It matches the Rfam family "Bacterial small subunit ribosomal RNA", at positions 338 to 795 of the family's 1533-position model. The record is from RNAcentral. Lineage: Bacteria; Pseudomonadati; Pseudomonadota; Gammaproteobacteria; Oceanospirillales; Halomonadaceae.
CCUACGGGGGCUGCAGUGGGGAAUAUUGGACAAUGGGCGAAAGCCUGAUCCAGCCAUGCCGCGUGUGUGAAGAAGGCCUUCGGGUUGUAAAGCACUUUCAGUGGGGAAGAAAGCCUUGGGGCUAAUACCCUCGAGGAAGGACAUCACCCACAGAAGAAGCACCGGCUAACUCCGUGCCAGCAGCCGCGGUAAUACGGAGGGUGCGAGCGUUAAUCGGAAUUACUGGGCGUAAAGCGCGCGUAGGCGGUCUGAUAAGCCGGUUGUGAAAGCCCCGGGCUCAACCUGGGAACGGCAUCCGGAACUGUCAGGCUUGAGUGCAGGAGAGGAAGGUAGAAUUCCCGGUGUAGCGGUGAAAUGCGUAGAGAUCGGGAGGAAUACCAGUGGCGAAGGCGGCCUUCUGGACUGACACUGACGCUGAGGUGCGAAAGCGUGGGUAGCAAACAGGAUUAGAUACCCUAGUAGUC